This 2955-nucleotide long non-coding RNA is filed under the name Homo sapiens (human). RNAcentral describes it as "HSALNT0404376". The record is from RNAcentral. Lineage: Eukaryota; Metazoa; Chordata; Mammalia; Primates; Hominidae.
CUGCCAGCGUGGAAAACCGGCCACGUGCAGGUCUGGGGCUGGGCACACACAGGGUCACACCCAGGAAGGGAUAAGCUAUGCAUUUCUAUUGAUAGAGUGGGCAGGGACCACAGGAAUUUAGAAAAUAUUAGGGCCAAGUUUACUGGGGAAAAUGUACAGGCCAGCAGAUAGCAUGGAAAAGUCCCCUCCCUGAGGAAGGGAAGCAUCUCAGAGGAGGUAAGAGACUGCUCCCAGGGCUGUGGUUAGAGCCUCCCCAACCGCAGCACGAUGCCCUUUGUCCCAUCUUCAGCAGGAGGGGCUGCUCUCCAUGGAGAUGAGGCUGACAGGGUCAGCGGAGUAGCCUGUGACAGGCAGGUUUUAAUAAGUUCAUUUUCAGCCAACCCCUGAAAUGGGUUAUUUUUGUUCCAUGGGAAUGCUCUACAUCUUCUGAAAGAUGGCACCUGGGACCCAGCCCAUGGCCUUCCUGGGGUAGGAUGUGCUGGAGAAGGAUUCUGUGGACCUGACAGAGAAGACAGAAGCCAGAGAGUAGACACCCGGAAAGAAAGAGGGAAAAGUGUGGUGGGAAGGACAGAGGGGACCCGAAGUUCCCCACGCCAGGGAAAUGACAGGGGGUUGCCAGUCUGUUUCUGAUGGUUGAGCAGUCAGGGGCCCAGAGACGCAGGAAACCCAAAAUCCUUGGUCCACCACGGGGCUGUCCUCAGGGUCUGGAGAGCAGGCCCCAUACUCCAGGCCCCCAUCCUCCAGGCCCUCGUCCCCCAGGCUCCAUCCUCCAGGCCCCCAUUCUCCAGGGCUCCAUCCUCUAGGCCCCUGUCCUCCAGGCCCCCAUCCUCUAGGCCCUCAUCCUCCAGGCUCCAUCCUCCAGGCUCCAUCCUCCAGGUUUCAUCCUUCAGGCCAUCAUCCUCCAGGCCCCCGUCCUCCAGGCCCCCAUCCUCCAGGCCCCAUCCUCCAGGCCCCCAUCUUUCAGGCCCCUGUCCUCCAGGCUCUUGUCCUCCAGGCCCUCAUCCUCCAGGCCCCUGCUCCUCCAGACCCUCAUCCUCCAGACCCUCAUCCUCCAGGCCCCCAUCUUUCAGGCCCCUGUCCUCCAGGCCCUCUUCCUCCAGACCCUCGUCCUCCAGGCCCCUGUUCCUCCAGACCCUCGUCCUCCAGACCCUCAUUCUCCAGGCCCCCGUCCUCCAGGCUCCAUCCUCCAGGGCUCCUCUGGGUCCGGGUCAAGUACCUCCAGGCUCUCUGCUGACUGUUCACCACUGGGCAACCACAGGGACUCGAUCCAUGAAAACUCUGGCAAGGUCAGUUUCCUUGUUCUACAUCCCUGUCACUUUAGUCACCAUCAUGAUAUAAGUGACUGAGUCAUUGUUUUCUCUCAUAUUCCCACCCACCUCUCCUCUCUGCUUCCUCCCCAUCAACUCGACUUCCCACCGCUCACUGCAGCCCCUUCAGGAUUCCUGCUGCGACCACCUGACCCAUGCAAAAGAGACCACUUCUCAGCCUCUCUCACUCUCCUGGCCCUGGCGGAAGCCUGUGUUGUCAUAGGCAUGCUUCCCUGGAAUCCUGCUCAGGCCCCCACGCAGGGACACUGAGUGCCCACAGAGUUGGGAAACCAUUACACGAGAUGGGACGUCUGCAAUAGAGUGGCAUCGCUAGUUGAAAGUGGAGCUGUUCACAACCUCCACAACUGUACUUGGUGGCCACGUCCCCAUCACAUGGGCUCAGACUGGGGGCUGGACAUUGACUUUGAGCCCCAAGUCUUCACCCUCAUGCAAAAACCAUCCUCCUUGGAGAUGCAGGCUGGGAAGGGCGCCAUGUCCGGAGUCCCUGCCCUGCUGUCAUCUGCCGACCUUUGUGCAGCCUGUCCCUUUCGUUAAGAAUUUCAGCACUGAGUUCACUGUGUUCCUUGUCAUGCUAAGACUUGGCCACAUCCCAGCCAUCUUCAACAUGGCGGUCGAUGUUUCAUCAAAAUUCACAGUCGCUCAGAUUUUAUUUUUCCUCAUCUCUAGGAACUUCCAUCUCCACUCCACUUCUGCCACUUCUGCCACCCUCCCAUGACCACACUCAGAACUUGAGCUCCACCUCUGAAAGAGGCAGAAUUGCCUUAUCUCACACAGUGGUGACAGCACUCUGUAAUAAUCUGCAUGGGCCAGGGCUCCUUGGUUGCAGGUAACAGAUACCACUGUUACGGCCCAACUCUGUUCUUCUAUGUUGAAGCCGGAACCCCCAGCGCCUCAGAAUGGGAUCACAUCUGGAGAAGGCGCCUUUAAAGAGAGUGCAAGUUAGGUAAGAAAGAACGGAUGGUGGACAGCCAGGAAACAGUCAGCUACGAGAUGUUGUGUGGAAAGCCCACCUUUCUGACACUGGAGAACUGUGGGAAGAACGGACAGGCCACACACCAGCUGGGCUCUGAGAACCCCCAGCUUCUGCUCCACAGUGAGCCAGCAGGAAUCCAAAGGGCAUGGGCAGACCCCAGGGGCUCCUUCACCCCACCCAGGGGUAGAGAGGGCAAGACGGAGUAGAGCGAGCAGACAGAGAGUGUAAGAUCAGACAUACCAUAGAUGGAAAAGAAAAGCUAAAACUUCCUUGCACAUCUGAGAGACAUUCUGCUACAGGUUUCAUCUCCUACGCCAAUUUCUAUUUGGGAAAGCAAAUAAACGGAAAGCUAACUUGUGUCACUUGGUCGCUGGGGCAUCCGCAGUGAGUAGUUAAGAAAUGCCAGGGGAGUCGGUGUCCAUUUUCAUGCCUGGACAAGAGUGCGUCUUGGACUUGCGUCCUGCUGCACACCCCACCGUCCCGCUGCACACCCCACCGUCCUACUGCACACCCCACUGUCCUACUGUACACCCCACCGUCCUACUGCACACCCCACUGUCCUACUGCACACCCCACUGUCCUACUGUACACCCCACCAUCCCUGCUUUCUGCACUCAGCUGCCCACUUGUAUCCCAGCUCAGGAAGCCCAGAAG